AUGGAGGAAAAAGGUCUGAUAUUGAUAUUCCACUGUGGGAGUAAAAGAGGUGGGGAGUCAGGUUUCUGAUACAAUUGAAAUUCUGCUUAAAAAACAGGGUCAAUUGUUUUGCAUGGGAAGUAUAUCCUCUGACGCACUCUGGAAAAGUAAAUUAGAACUUUUAUCAGCAAUAGGUGCGACUUUUAAUGUGAAAAUACACCAAAUGUAUCGGCCUUAGUCCCAAAUCGUGGUAGCAGCAGAUAAAAGUGACUCUCAGAUUGGCCCAAAUUCAACCUGGAGUCAGGUGUGAGCAUUAGCAGGAAGCUGCUCACUGGGAACAGAUCAACAGGAAGUGACAAAUCCAAAUGUACAGAUCCACACCUGUGGUUUUCCAUCAUAACGGUCACGAUCUUUAUCAGCAGAUGGAGUUUGCUCAGAGCCAGAUCCACUGAUGAAGACUGUGAGAUGCAGUAGAAAGCUCCAGAGAAAGCCAUCCCCAACAUGGAGGCGCUGGUGUCGAUCACAAACACCACAUUCUUGGGCACAACUGGCAGAUCUUUGGGGGCGAAGUAGUGGACGAAGUGACCGUUUAACACCUGGGAAAGAAAGAAGUUUACAGACAACAGGCGGCGAGUUGCAGCGGUCAAGUGUGAUUUAGCAAAACAUAGUUUGCUUCUGAAGACAGAAGAGUUUGGCAGCGGAGCGACUGCAGUGGCAGGAAACCAGAGAAGUGAAUCACUAACAGGUGGGUGGAUGAGUGUGCGUGUGUAAAGUUGGAUGGGAUUGUUGUGUGCACACUUCCAAAUAUGAAAGCUAAUGCUUUUCCAGUCUGCUUUAAUCCAUCAAAGCCUUCGCGUAUCUCUGCUUUUAUUAUGCAUGUGCUUCUCAGAGUUGGUGAAAGCAGUGUUGCGCACCUGAAUGUCUCCGAUCCCCAUCUCUCUCUGCACGUCGUAGCGGAUCACAAAGUCUCCCAGGAUGCCGUUGGUGGUGAUCUUGGCCUGUUGGACGAUGUUGGGGUUGAAGGUGAUCUUGCAGACGUUCUUCUCGUUUUUGACGGCGGUGGUGACGGGAGGAUCGAGCUUGGCUGAGGCACAAAGACAGGAAGUCCAGAGCUCCUGCCGUUGCGGAGCGGCAGCACCUGGAGGUCCGUGAUGGGCGAGUGGUCGACGAUAGUGACGUCCAGGCUGAGGCGGCUGACCAGCUGCAGCGGCCGCAGGCUGGUCACGUGCUCGUAGCGUCCCAGCCGCCGCUGCAGGAGCUCCUCGUAGGUCAGAAGGAACACGGCCCGGUUCCGACCCGGGAUGCUGGCCGCCAUCCUGAACACCUCGGCCUCCGGCUCUGGGCUGGAGGUCGAGGACAGAGGUGGACACGGUGUACUCUACUUAUAAUUUUAAUGUAACCUUGUUGUUUUUGCACUUUAUUUUUCAAUGUAUUUAUUAUAUUUAUAUUGUUCCAUCAAAGAUUUGACAUUCUGUGUGAACAUCGUUGUAGUUUUUCCAGAGUUUGUCGCUAUUACUUUCUGCCACAGCAUCUUAUUUGAUUCUUCCACUAGGGGGCGCCAGAGUUGGAAAUAUUCAAAUUCUUCACAUCGUAACUUUAAUAUUAGAAAUGUAAACUUAAAAACAUUGAGAAGUUGUUUUUGUUUACUCUGGUGACUCUUCUGGUUGAAUUAUACAUUUUAGAGCUUUUUUAAUGACAUUACUCAUUAAUGUAUCGCGUCACCAGAUAAAACAAAUCAGCCGUAAACAGAAAAACAUUCGAUAUAAAGCGAGAAGAAGAAGCAAACAUUAGUAAAGAGUCUGAGUGGUGACUUCAUGAGUCUCACAUCCUCCCUCCCUCGGUGAAUCACCAAAUCUCAUUUAAUAAAAUGUCACUUUUCAUAUGACAGCUGGAAACGUGAAGUCACUUCUUCCAUAUGUCACCUCUUGGGUCACAGAUUUAUACGACAAUCCUCGUCUCUGGAGAAAUUAUCUUAUUACACACACACGCACACAC
This is a long non-coding RNA of Cottoperca gobio, 1974 nucleotides long. RefSeq lists it as uncharacterized. NCBI's taxonomy places the organism in Eukaryota, Metazoa, Chordata, Actinopteri, Perciformes, Bovichtidae. The transcript is spliced from 3 exons. The record is from RefSeq and is a predicted model, not a curated record.